RNAcentral lists this ribosomal RNA (391 nucleotides) under uncultured bacterium. Its description in RNAcentral is "bacterial SSU rRNA". It matches the Rfam family "Bacterial small subunit ribosomal RNA", at positions 29 to 419 of the family's 1533-position model. The record is from RNAcentral.
AUUGAACGCUGGCGGAAUGCUUUACACAUGCAAGUCGAGCGGCAGCGCGGGGGCAACCCUGGCGGCGAGCGGCGAACGGGUGAGUAACAUAUCGGAACGUACCCCGUCGUGGGGGAUAACACAGCGAAAGCUGUGCUAAUACCGCAUACGACCUGAGGGUGAAAGCGGGGGAUCGCAAGACCUCGCGCGAUGGGAGCGGCCGAUAUCGGAUUAGCUUGUUGGUGAGGUAAAGGCUCACCAAGGCGACGAUCCGUAGCUGGUCUGAGAGGACGACCAGCCACACUGGAACUGAGACACGGUCCAGACUCCUACGGGAGGCAGCAGUGGGGAAUUUUGGGACAAUGGGGGGCAACCCUGAUCCAGCCAUUCCGCGUGAGUGAAGAAGGCCUGG